AUUCUGUGAUGAGGGCACUUCAUUAAUAAUUAUUUGUACAUUCCCAUGCCUCAUGCAAGGACUCAUCAUCCAUUUGUUGGAAAGCAGUGAUUUCGUUCCUCAACUU
Molecule: non-coding RNA, 106 nt
Organism: Gossypium arboreum
Lineage: Eukaryota; Viridiplantae; Streptophyta; Magnoliopsida; Malvales; Malvaceae
Source: Rfam